This is an RNA transcript of Helicoverpa zea (corn earworm), 6468 nucleotides long. It is a transcript of the gene named cGMP-specific 3',5'-cyclic phosphodiesterase, with no coding region annotated. Lineage: Eukaryota; Metazoa; Arthropoda; Insecta; Lepidoptera; Noctuidae. The transcript is spliced from 19 exons. The record is from RefSeq and is a predicted model, not a curated record.
CUUCAGUCUGGCGCGGGACGCGUAACGGAGCGCACGUCGCCCGUCCAAACAUUCUCCUCGUCCAAACCGCGUGUUGAAAACAAAGAUUGCUAAAUUAAAUUGCUAGUGGAAACCUAUUUGGUGGGUAGUGUUUUGUUCCUUACUCAGUGACGUCAUAAUCGUGAGCUUAAGUUCGGAGGCGAUUGUAUCUGAAUGUUCGAGGGCUAAACAGUAUUUUCAGUGGAAGGUAACACAACGUAGCCAAGAGAUGCCGAACAUGUUCGAAGCCACAAACGAAGCAGGAGUGUCCCAAAACUAACUGCCAUGACAUCCGAGGAGCCGAUAGAUGUUGUCGCCAAAAAAGACUCCAAAAAGACCGAUGAGUGCGCCAACUUCGAAAUACCAGAAAACAAAAAAGACAAAAGCGUAGUCGAUCCAAAACAGAAACGAUCACAAGAACUCAUGAGGCUGGUCUACGAACUACCCGAUGACAUAAAGAACCCAGAAAUAAUAGAAAACAACAAUAUGUUGAAGGAAAACCCACCAAUUACGAUAGUGGAGAUCACAGAACAGAAUGGUUGUGCCGAGUUAAAUGCUACUCAAUGUGAUAACGAUUAUUUUAACGUAGACGGCAGUCCAAAGGACUUAGGCAAUAAGGUGGUAUACGACGUGCUAGCUACUAAUGAACUGAUUAUGCACUGUGCUGAAGAAUUCAAGGAGGUUAUAGACAGAUCAUCACCUGAUGAUUGUACAGAUGAAGAUUUGCUAGAAUUGAAGAAGUUACUAGAAGGAAAGCCGAAGGUGUUGGAUAGGUAUAUUCGGGAGUGUGCGACGACGGAUGAGGUGACGAGGCUCCAUAGUUUGACAUCUUCGGGGCCGCUAUCUCCGAGGCCACAUCAUGAGGCGAGGAGUACAUCGGUGACAUCAGACUUAUUCCAGCUAUGGCUGUCUUCAUCUCCAGUGAAGAGGUCGAGAUCUCCGAGCUGCUCAGCACAGAAGCAGCUGGAUGAGGCGGACCUGUUCAUGGACCUCAUCAAGGACGUCGCCAACGAACUGGACAUUGACGUGCUUUGUCACAAGAUCCUGGUAAACGUGUGCCUGCUAACAUCAGCGGACCGAGGCAGCUUGUUCCUGGCGAAGGGUGUACCCCCCAACCGAUACCUGCAGGCGAAACUCUUCGAUGUCACCAGGGACACAGAACUAAACGACGCACUCCGGACGGCGCGCUCGCAGGAGAUAAAGAUCUCCUUCGGCGUCGGAGUGGCAGGGCUGGCAGCGCAGACCAAACAUCCCAUCAACAUCAAGAACGCUUAUGCAGACCCUAGGUUCAACAGCGAGAUCGACGCUCGCACGGGCUACAAGACUGAGCUGAUCCUCUGCAUGCCCAUCUGCAACUACGAGGGCGACGUCGUCGGCGUCGCGCAGAUUAUCAACAAGACUGAUGGAUCCAAAGAAUUCUCCCCCCGAGACGUGGAAGUAUUUCGCCGGUACCUCACUUUCUGCGGCAUCGGCAUUCAAAACGCGCAGCUCUUCGAGUCCUCAGUCCUAGAGUACAAGAGAAACCAGAUCCUGCUGGCGCUGGCCAGGAGUAUAUUUGAGGAGCAGAGCAACCUCGAGUGCUUGGUCACCAAGAUCAUGAAGGAGGCGAGAGAGUUGCUCAAGUGCGAGAAGUGUGCCGUCUUUAUAUCUGAUACGGAUCAUUGUGAAUCGAGCCACUUAGAGCGCAUAGUCCAACGCCCCGGCGGUCAGAAGUCGUCACUCCCAGCACUGCCACCACCAGCGCCGACGCGCUUCCACACGCUGUUCGAGCUCGGCGCGCAGCAGUCGCGCACCACGCUCACGCACCGCCACGACUGCCGCUCUACCCUCGCCAGCAUCGCGCUAGCGGUAGCCCAAUCAAACAAAGCGCUGAACAUAUCGGACGUGGCGGAGUGGCGCCGCGAGAACAACAUGGUGGUGCGUGACGUCACGCUGGACGACGCCGCCAACGUCCGCACAAUGCUCUGCAUGCCCAUCGUUAACGCUAACAAAGACGUUAUUGGCGUCGCUCAGCUUAUUAAUAAGGAGAACGGGUGUCAGUUCACGGACGGCGACAUCUCGAUAUUCGAAGCGUUCGCCAUAUUCUGUGGUCUGGGUAUACACAACACGCAGAUGUAUGAGAACGCUUGUAAACUUAUGGCUAAACAGAAGGUGGCGCUGGAGUGCUUGUCGUACCACGCGACAGCCUCCACAGAGGACACGAGCAAGCUUUGCAGCGACAACAUCCCCUCCGCUGAGAUAUACAACCUGUACAGCUUUCAGUUUCACGACUUCGAUCUAUCAGACGAGGACACGUGCAGAGCGACACUGCGCAUGUUCCUACAAUGCAACCUAGUCGAGAAGUUCCACAUUCCUUAUGACGUCCUCUGCCGCUGGAUAUUAAGCGUCAAAAAAAACUACCGACCAGUCAAAUACCACAACUGGAGACACGCACUCAACGUCGCUCAAACAAUGUUCGCGAUGCUGAAAACUGGCAAAAUGGAGCGGUUCAUGUCUGACCUGGAAAUCCUUGGCUUGCUUGUAGCCUGUCUAUGCCAUGACCUGGACCAUAGGGGGACAAACAACGCGUUUCAGACGAAAACUGAAAGUCCUCUAGCGAUAUUGUACUCGACUUCAACGAUGGAACAUCAUCAUUUCGAUCAGUGUGUCAUGAUUCUUAAUAGUGAGAGCAAUAAUAUUUUCCAGGCGCUAUCCCCAUGCGACUACAAGGACGUGAUGCGCGUGGUGGAGACGGCGAUCCUGUCCACCGACCUCGCCAUGUACUUCAAGAAGCGCGCCAAGUUCCACGAGCUGGUGGAGAACGGCGAGUUCGACUGGCAGAGCCAGGAGAAAAAAGAGUUGCUAUGCGGCAUGAUGAUGACGGCAUGCGACGUGUCAGCGAUCGCCAAGCCGUGGGAGGUGCAGCACAAGGUGGCCAAGCUGGUGGCCGACGAGUUCUUCGACCAGGGAGACCUGGAGAAACUGCAGCUCAACCAGCAGCCUAUCGCUAUGAUGGACAGGGAAAAGAAAGACGAACUCCCACAAAUGCAAGUGGGCUUCAUCGACAUGAUCUGCCUCCCACUAUACAAGGUCUUAGCCGACACAUUCCCCUGGAUCCAGCCGCUGUAUGCUGGCACCCUGGACAACCGCCAGCGCUGGCAGGACCUCGCAGAAAAGGUGGAGAUGGGGCUUACGUGGAUAGACCACGAUACUAUUGAUAAGCCAAUUGAGGAGUUCACUGCACUAAACGAGCCAAUAAAAGACGUGGAGCUAACAGUCCAGACCCUGAACUGUACGAAGCCGAUCCCCGAGAGCAGCAGCAGCAUGGCGCUGGUCAAGCCGCUGAAGACUUCCUUCCACUCCCUGAGGAGAGGGAAGAGCAGCAACUUCACCAACCGCCCCGCCAGGAGUAAACUUACUAGCAUGUUCCAGAUCAAUGUACGCGGCGGCAAGCAGCCGGGAGCCCGAGGCGCUCCCACGCCGGCCGCCGCCCGCGCCGCCCGCCCCGAGCCACACGCAGCCGCACACGCCGCUGCUGACGGACGAGCCUAAAGCCAAGCAUAAGGCUAGGUUGUGCCAGUUGUUGUGACGGUUGAGCUUUAACUGGGGCAGCCAGAAUAGUACAGAGAAACCUGAGAAACUGGACAGAGUGAAGCCGUCCAAAUCGAUUGAUUAGACACAGUGGGGUAACAUUACUGCGGUGUCGCUUUGUAGAAUAUAUGAGAGGACCCGAGAAAAAUAUAUUACAGUCAUUUAUGUUUUCAAAAUAGUUUUCUGUGAAGUUAUUGGUAUAUGAAAGAUUUGGUUACAAUAUAAUUCUUCACAGUGCUUUCACUCUUUACGAUUUUCCGCACGGUUUUUCGUAGGAAGAUGCGUGGCAAUUUUUUUAUCGCUGGGAAUGUGUCGUACGUAAAAAAAUCUUGCGGAAAAUCGGCGGGUUUGAAAGAGCUGUUAGAAGAAACAUUUCAAACUAUCGAUAAAUGAUGAAAAGUCAUAUAAAACUACAAAGCGACGUAACAGGAUAGGGUUGUACUCUCUACUUCGACUCGGUUGAGUCAACGUCGUUUUACUAAUAGUGGUUACCGUUGUACAUUUCUAUUGUUAGAUACAUCAUAUUGAGUAGAUUACAUGGAACUUGUCUGUAGUUUGGCUGAACAUAGUUAUAAAGAUACAGAGAAAAAACCAGAGUUAAAUAUGAAAAAAGCAAACAAAUUGUCCAUAAAAUAAGUGUGUUCAGCAAAACUAAAAAUUUUAGAGAAACAAAAAAAACUAAAAGUAAUUUUUAGUAUUUUAAUCUCUGCGUCUUUUUGACGAUAACAAUGUUUCCUGUAAAGCAAACUCUAGGUAAAUGUUUAUCUAAUUAAAUGUAUUAUUUACAUAGACUGUGAUCUAGUAUUACUUCGCGAUGUUCUAUUUUAAAAAUAACAGGUUUUAUAGAUUCCUUUCUUUUGCAAUUAAGAAACCUUGAGUGAUUUUAGUAUGCAAUAUUUAGAGUUGUGUUGCACUAUUACUAGAUUUAUUUAUGUCAGGUCUUGUAUAGUUCUCGCCAAACUUUUCGUCGAAAACCAUUUUUAAGUAUAAGCAGGUUGUAAAGGUACGCUCGGAAUUUAGCUGCAAGCCGCCAUUAUGUUUGGCGAGAACUGUAGAAGACAGUAAUACAAGAUUGUAUUUCCUAUAACUAGUCCUUGUGACCAAGUUGCUUCCUUCGCUUAGAUUAUGUGAUUCUUCCGUAUAGGUACAAUAAAACAGCUAUUUAUAAUAUUUUUCUAACGUAUUAUUAAGAUCUAUCGACUGUUUAAAUUUUAAAAUAGAAUGAUCGUUUCUUGGCCUGUGAAAAAAUGUGUACUAUGUAACUACUAAGUGUGUAAGGUUUUCGUAUUUAUACAUUAUGAAAGUUCAAUUAAAUUAUUUUUUUAUUUAUCGGAGCUAAAAGUAUUAUGAUGCUAGUCGUGUGUUAUGUUAUGUAGAUAUUUAUAAAUGUUACUGUCGAACGAACAGUCACGUCCAAUUCGCUUAUGAAGCUUAUUUUGUGCAAUAUCGAACGAUUCGAUACAGUCUUAAUCGUAAUUGAGAUUAUUUUUAUUACCAGUACUUUUAAGUCAGCAAUAUUUUUAAUAUUUAAUGAUUUUGGCACAAGAAUGAAGUCGUGAUGUGGUUCGUAAGAACUUAAGUGUCCAUCAAUGAAUUAUUAAUACUUCGUUUGCAUGUUCUAUGCAAUUGCAGCAAUGUAUUGUGAAAAUCUUGAAAAUUGCGUGCAGGAGCCACAAGAUUUUAAAUCUUUUUGGAUUAACAGUUUUAGUAUAAAAAAAAAAAAAUAUUGUAAUAAAACUUCAUACUUUGUAUUUUACUAGUAUGAUUUUGACUAUAAUGUUUAAAAAAGUAAACACAAGUAGAGUUUUUUCUUUAAAAUGUCUUGUAUAGACUUUUUAUAGGAAGGAAAAUAAUAAGAAAGCCUUUAAUACAAUAUAUCGAUGUCAAAUAUUGUGCAAUUUUUACUGUUGUUAUAAUAGUUUAGAUAUCUGCUUUAACAUUGGCAAAAUUAAAAUAAGUCCACACCCGUCAGUACUAACAGUCACUUAUGUGAAAGUAGUGUUCAUGUAUUAUGCAAUUUUAGUUGUAUUAAUGGACUCACGUUUCAGUUCUUCGUCUAUGUUUAUCCGUUUCUUUGAUAAUUAUUACCGAUUCUUUGAAUCUUUCAGCAGUAUCUAUUGAUAUAUACAAGUUCAAUAUUGUACAAAAAAGGUUAGUAAUUUUGGAGCUUAUUUUAAUUUUGCAAAUGUGAAGUCACAUAGUCCAGAUGUUGUGAAAUAGACUAUAUUUAAUAUAAUUAAUAGUAUUACGACUGUUCUUUACUAACUUGAUAUCAAACAUUUUCUUUUAUUUUCAUAAUAAUAGACAUUUUUUGAACUCCGUUUAGAAUUUAUGAAGUAGUUAAUCAUGUAAACAAUUAAAUUGUUUCUUAUAUUUUUUCCAAAGAUGGGUAAUACGCCUGACAGGUUUUGUACAAAAGUUACCUACAUAAUAACAAAUUAUUAUUUAAUUUAAAUUAAUUAUCUUGGUCAUUUGAGAGUUUAUGUUAAAUGUUUUAUUUUUAAUAGAUUUAUUUGCUCAGUAUUAUUUGUUCAAGAAUGUGAGAUCAUAUUUAUUUAUGUAUUUAUUGAUAAAUUCAACUAAUUAUAACAUGAGAAAAGGCGUUGAUUUUACAUUAAGAAUAUAAUUUGAUUUGCUGAGUGAAACAUUUUGGAUGAUAUGCAAAAUGUUUUAACAUUUGGUUGUUUCCAAAAAAGGGUAAUUUGUCCUCGUUUUCUUAAUGUUGGUAAUUUUAAACAUAAUAUUGUUGUAUGUUUUCUAUUAAAUGACAAUAUUCUACUACAUUACUCAGAACAAUAAAUAUUUCUUCGUUAUGAUUCGAUCAAUUUGUAAAAAUACCUACUGAAUGUGUUUCGACGAAUAAAAAUAUUGUGAACAAUA